Long non-coding RNA from Priapulus caudatus, 135 nucleotides. RefSeq lists it as uncharacterized. The transcript is spliced from 3 exons. NCBI's taxonomy places the organism in Eukaryota, Metazoa, Priapulida, Priapulimorpha, Priapulimorphida, Priapulidae. The record is from RefSeq and is a predicted model, not a curated record.
UGAGAAAACAAACAUCUCAGGAGAAUAUAGCAGUAGUUCCUACAGUAGUGACCCUGGUGCUUUACAUGCGCGAGAGGAAUCGGCGGCGAUUUUGACGCAUGACAAAAAGAUAGCCCUAAACUCUCGAGGAACGAG